This is a long non-coding RNA of Drosophila mauritiana, 906 nucleotides long. RefSeq lists it as uncharacterized. Lineage: Eukaryota; Metazoa; Arthropoda; Insecta; Diptera; Drosophilidae. The record is from RefSeq and is a predicted model, not a curated record. The transcript has 3 exons.
CGCGGGCUAACCCGAGAGCAGUUAGUUCGGUUCAAGAAAUCCCCUGAAUGCAGUAUAUUUCGCAAAGCUUCGCAGUGCAUCAAACGAUCAAUAUCAAGAAAACUCAUAGCAUCAGUUCGUGAGUAUGCGGAAUUUGGCAAAGCCCGCCGAGCGAAUUGUACUGCAGUAAUUACCUACCGAAUGUCGACCGUAGGGUGGCAUGUGGGCGGCCAGGCUCUCGUCCUUGAUGUCCUUGGUGUCGCGAAAGACCACCGUCUUGAUGACGCCCUUGAUGUGCUCGUCGGGCCAGAUGCCCAGAAGGAUUCGCUGCGGCCUGCCACGCCCCUUGGGCCGCAGGUCGGGCCCGCCGUCGAUGGAAGGUCCCAGCAUAUUGUGCACCCUGUUGGCAUAGAGCACGAACGUGGGAUACGGGAUGUCGUACUUGCGGGCGGCCUGGGAGAGCGAAAGGCCCUCCUUCAGCACACUGAAAAUGGCCUCCGCCAUGGUCUCGGGUCGCCAGGACUUGAGAGGACCUCGCUCGCGGAAGCGCAUGUGGUGCAUCAGGUUCUGGUUGGUGUUCCAGCACUUCUGCCACAUGGACUGCAGCUGGUACUGGUAGCUGUCUGCUGAAAGAUCAAGAGGAGAGAGGCCGACGAUCAGUGGGUUUCCAGCUGCCCGGCGGGGCUGCUCUACGAACCUGCCAGCGUGGAUCCGGUGGCGCCCAUCCAGGCGUGCGAGUUCUCCAUCAUUUUGGCCUGCGAAUGCAGAAAAGUAAAUUCAAGUAUCAGCAAAGUGAGGCAGGAGAAGAAAGGCUUAGCUGGUCGCAGGGGCAUCGAAGUUGAAGCUGAAGUUGCAAAUGCAACCGAAGAAACCGGAGGCACUAGGCUGCAGAGAGUUAAAUGCACUGGGGGAAAAUAUCCCCUACAU